Molecule: non-coding RNA, 7822 nt
Organism: Bactrocera oleae (olive fruit fly)
Lineage: Eukaryota; Metazoa; Arthropoda; Insecta; Diptera; Tephritidae
Source: RefSeq, a predicted model, not a curated record
UCUACUUUAUUAAGCAACAUGCAUAUUUAAUAAAGGAAACUAAUACAAAUAACCAAGAAAAAUUCAUUUAGAACAAGCUUCAAUAUUGUUUUUCAUAUACACCACAAGUGUUUAUUUGAGUUUUUUUCUUGUUAUUUCAAUUUUGUCAAAAACCACAGUUCACUUUGGUAUGCGUUUGAAGUUUAAACGUCAUGUUGUGAAUUUUACAUUUAAUUCUUUUCUCCACACAAAAAUUUGAUCAAGUGCAUUUUACGUUAAAAAGUUGUCGUUUUCUUCGAUACCGGAAAUGAGAAAGUAUGUGGCGGAAAUUGUAUUCACAAAUCGUCCAGUUAGCAUUAGAGAGAAAGUAGAGGCUCUCAUUUGUGAUGUGUCACCUCAAGAUCUCUCGGUCGAAUAAAUAAGAUAUGAUUGUCGUCAAAAUGCCACAAAAUUUCAUUUCAAUAUUAUUUUAUAUUUUCCGGGGUUUACCAUGAUAAUAUUCCCUUAAUAGUGCGGGUCUAAAAAUGUUAAUUACUGCAUAUGUAUGCUUGUUCUUUUAAAUUACGGUAAAUUAUUAAGAUUAUGGAUGUUGCUAUGUCCAUUAAAUGGAGUAUAGGGUCCUUACCAACCAGUGAGUAAUAGUUCAUCACUUGAAGUUCACUAAGUAAAGCAGCACUGUACUGCCCUUCUUUAGUCUUUAUUUUUGGUUUUGCAAAACUCAUUUCGCUAACAGUGGCAUAAAAUUGAAGUUUGCGGGAUAUAUUGCCAAGUUGUCCAGCCACAGCAAUAUGAUUAUGCAGACAUAAAGGAAUCACGUUGAGCAAUCAGCUUGAAAAACAAUAAGGAUUGAAUACGAAGUGUACGAUUCCUUAAGCUACACAUACAAUUCAGCAGAAAUUGAGAAAUAGAAAAAAUUAAGAGAAAAAGUUAAAUAAACAAAAAAUGUGAAAGGAAGCUUGUGUAAAACCAAACUCCUGGGGAUUGAGGUGAACUUAAGCAAACACUGUUGCAAAAUUGCGCAGAAAAGUGAUAACAAAUGGAAAAGUAAGCAAAAGCGAUAGAUAUUCAUGACCUUGCCUUGACUGUGCUGAGAGAGUGAAAGAACGGAUAUUUACCUGGACAAAAAUGGUGAAGCGAAGUCGAGCAACACCAAAACAGAAGCUAGAUGAAUGCACAAUAAACCGAGCGCUUUGUGCCAAGUACACUUUUUGAGAAUUAAGAAGAGGAAAUAAAAACGUUUCUACAAAUAUGCAACGUCGCUGAGUUAAGUAUGAACUUGCCAUAGCAAUACUAGCAUGAACAUCCAGAUAUGCGUUCGUGUGUAAAUUUUUGGAGAGUUGGGAAAGCUGCUUGACGAUUAUGAGACUUGAUGACAUGAAAAGGUGCACCGUUACGUGCUGCUUCUCUAUAAGUAUGUGCUGAUAAUAAAGGACCUGGAGGAUACGCCAGGUGUGACAUUUUGAUGGUGAUGAUGAAGAACUUGAUAAGUAGGAUUGGACCGGAAUACUAAAGAAUGCAAGAUAAUAUUUGAAAUCUGUACAAAUUACAAAUCAUUUCUUGUGUUUCGAUGUAUUCUGAGUUAAAAAUAGUUCAAGCAAACAAGCUUGGUUUGUGCUCAUCUCAAGGGCGUCACUGGUCGCGGACUAUUUCAACAUCUCGUAGGCCGAAUGCUAACAGUGUAAUGCUAGACGGAUCUUUCCGACCUUAUGGCUGCACAUCGCAUUUCAAGAUUUCAGAUUACAUGCAAUUCAGGAAUAAUUUGCGUUCUUUUCACUUCCUUGGUUGCCUUUAAUCGGAGCUUUAGUCGGCUGUUGGUGUCGAUGUAAUAAAAGCACGAGGGUUGUGGUUUUGCUACGGUGCAUAUACGAACAUAACUUGAAAAGAGCAUCGGCUGUAUGAAAAUGAUUGCCGUCGGGUAGGCUGUUCGAUGUGGAGUUUUGGCAAGAGACCAAAACAAUAUGUGGAGAUGUGCCGCCGCACUAUUGGGAAACUCCCUAUUCUCAGCCCUACUUUGACAACUCAUCGAGACGUGAAGUGACAGCGACAGUGGGCCAGGCAGCGCUGUUGCACUGUCGCGUACGCAAUUUAGGAGAUAGAGCGGUGUCUUGGAUACGUAAACGUGACCUGCAUAUACUCACCGUCGGCAUACUCACCUACACAAAUGACCAACGAUUCCAAUCGCUGCACACCGAGGGUUCCGAUGAGUGGACAUUGAGAAUAUCGUCGCCGCAGCCAAGAGAUUCUGGCACAUAUGAGUGUCAAGUGUCCACUGAGCCGAAGAUAAGUCAAGGAUUUCGACUGAAUGUCGUAGUAUCUCGAGCAAAAAUUCUUGGCAAUGCGGAACUUUUCAUCAAAAGCGGCAGUGACAUAAAUCUCACCUGUCUCGCCAUGCAAUCGCCCAUACCGCCAUCCUUCAUAUAUUGGUAUAAGGGUAAACGCGUGAUGAAUUAUUCACAACGUGGCGGCAUCAACGUCAUAACGGAACGUUCGACACGGACCAGUAAAUUAUUGAUAGCCAAGGCAACGCCAGCCGAUUCUGGAAAUUAUACAUGCUCGCCGAGCAGUUCAGAUUCUGCAUCGGUGGUGGUGCACGUGAUCAACGGUGAACACCCGGCCGCCAUGCAACACGGCAACAGCAGCGCUAAUCGCCUAUCCAAUACACUACACGGCUUUCUCCAACGAAUAACCCGACGCGCGCUCACCACACUGGCCGCAAGCUUUACCAAAGUAACAACAACAGCAGCAAAGUGUUCAAGUGAACAUCCUCUGGUCACCGGGCUACUGCAACGCCAGACAGUGUGGCCUGUGACGUUGUUCUGGCGCUUGCUACAACAGCUACUGCUCGCCGCGACCACAACAAAUUGGUGCAUCGUGUCUGUGGGCUGGUUGCUCUCCAGGUGGGCCCUGCAAUGCGGUCACUGGCAGCAUCGUCAAGCACAACUACAGCAACAACAAUUGCAAAUGCAGAGACACCAAGUGCGACGGCCACUAGAGAACCAUUGCUACUGCUGGUGGUGGCAUUGGCGGCGGUGGGCCGCUAGCGCUUCAUUGCUCAGGUGAUUGCAAAAUUGAGCAAAAGCGCGCAAAUAAGCGAGUAUGAACAGAUACAAUGGCAUGUAGAGGAGUGUAUCGACUGCGAUUUUGCACAUUUAGUGAUUGUAGUUGUAAUUGUAUAUAUGUAGGCAUGUGUAUUUUUUAUUGUUUUAGUUUUUUUUUUUAAUCUUUUGUUUCACCAAUCGCUCAGUAUGCACAGAAAGGUGAACAGUUGCUAGUCUCUCUGAUAAAUUUUAAUAUUCAAUUAUUGUGAUUGCGUUGCCUGGAAGCGCAUGGAAGUGGACUCGUAUGACAGACAUUAAUACGACUUCAUUUGGAUUGUAAUUUGAUCGGUUUAAACGCAAAUUUCAUUUUCAUGAUGCCUGGGUGCAGUGCGCAAAUAGCAUUUUAACCAAAUCACAUUUUGAAUGCAUAUAAAAUGACAAAUAUAAAAAGACAAGCAUAGAAAUCGGUGAUGAAAAAUAACUGAAUCAUUGAGCGCAUGCGACACUUUAUAAUUGAUGUAUUGACUGUGCUGCGUAGCAUUUAAGAACAAUAAUUCGUGUAAACAACGCAUUUGCAUUUUCUGAUUGUACGACUAAUGAGAUCAUAAUUGUAAUUAAAUCACUCGUUAUAAAUGUAUAUGAUAAAGAUUAGCAUUUAUAUGGCUUAUACUCGUGUGUGGUGAAAAACAUUAAAUUAAACGCUACAAAUUUGUAAAGAGUAUAAAGUGCUAUUAGGCACAUAAAUUUCAAACAGUAUUGCAAGCAACGAAAAUCUGAAAGUACUUUUGGGGAAAUGGUUUAAAUAUUUACACGAGCAUUUUAAUCAGUUAUGGCUGGACUUUUUAAUAUUUAAAGAAAAAUUCGUAUUAUUUUUAGAGAGCACUGUCCGUUCUUACAUUUCCUAACUCAUUUUCAACAUAGUAAAAAUGCAGAACUGCUUCACCGCCAAAGACUAAGCGGCUCAUUACUCUUCUCCAUAUAUUUUAUUUUUUAUACCCAGGGUAUAAAAGGUUUGCCACGAAGUUUGUAGCACACAAAAGGAAACGUCGAAGACCCUACAAAGUAUAUAUAUUAUUGCUAAGCGUGACGAGCUGAGUCGAUUUUGCCAUGUCUGUCUGUCUGUCCGUCUGUAUAUAUGCGAAUUAGUCCCUUAGUUUAUGAGAUAACGACCAGAAAUUUUACACACGUCCUUUUCUAACCAAGAAGCUGCGCGUUUAACGAAAUCGCCGAUAUCGGACCACUAAAGUGCUUGUAAAGAUGAGAUGAGAUAUCUUCAUGAAAUUUGCAUUAGAUUAUGAAUAAGACAAUAAUGCAAUCUCCAAAGAAAUUGCUAGUAUCGGAUAACAAGAACAUAUAGCUGUCAUCCAAGCUGAACGAUCGAACUCAAGUGCUUGUAUCUUCAAGAAAUUUGGAUAGAUUAUUAUUCUGUGCAUCGCUACAAUCCUAUAACAAACUGUUUAGAUCGAACCCAUAUAGCAUAUAGCUGUUAUAUAAACUGACGGCUCAAAGUCAAGAUACAGAACUUUUUAUACCCAUUUAUGCUAGAAAAAUGCAGCUGUGAAGGGUAUUUUAGCUUCGGUGCAGCCGAGUUUAACGUUUUUUCUUAUUUUAUGUUAAAACUUAUUUAAUUUGUUUUGUAGCCUGAAAAUUUAAAAUAUUAGCUUAAAUGAAAAAGUAGGAGUACCAUUUAGCACGGUUAUAAGAAUUAAGAAGUUAAGAUGGGAAUUGUCUUUGCCUGAAGUGGUGCUUGUGGAAAAUGUACACCCGCCAGAAUCUGUAUGGGCGGCAUUGCCUAUCUAAUAUGAGCACAUUUACAUACAUACAUGUGUACAAAAACACAUCCCCUGGGUAUCGUAGGUUGUACACAAAGCAAAUUAAAAAAUAGAAUGGACGGGAAUGAAAUAAACUUGGAAAUAUAAUAUAAUAAAAAACAAAUUUUUAAAUUGAAAAGCAAUUUUAACCAAUUUUGCAUUUAUUAAGUGACAGCCAAAUUAUUUUGGGCACUUGAAUCAUGAAUUACAAAUCCCAAUGCGCAUGAGAGCUUCCCCGGUACUAUAAGCUACUUUAGUGCGGUGGCUUACCUGCUAAUACCUAGAACCAGGCACAUAUUUAUUUAUCAUCGCAUAAUUUUCUGCUCUGUUUCAUUGCGUCGACGCACUGGCACUCCAAUCGACAAAUGUACGCGCGCAUACACUUAAACACCUUAAACACUUUCACAUAUCCUGCAUAUAUUUCGGUAUAGGCUCCUGUGCCUGUGCGCGUACACAUGCAUGCGCGUGUGUACAUAAGCGCGCAAGUACUUGUAAGCGGAAGCAGCGCCAGCUCUAAGCGCUCUUGCGUGGCCAUGCAUGAAAUUCGUGCGCAUACAAGCACACCCUCCACCACUUAUUUCCUCAUUCCAUGUGGCAAUAAUUUAGUAAAAUUUUUAUGCACCCAUAUGCAAGUAAUUGUCCUUUGCAGCUCCGUUCAUAAAAACACAUUAGGGCAUAAUUUCACGCAGCGCCCUUGUCGCUUGGGUGAGCAUUCUAAAAGGUGGCAAAGAGGCUAGGUACAAGUGGGGCUUGUUUUUCAAGUGUGCCCAUAUUUUUCAUGUACACACAAUUUUUGUGGUAAAAUAUGAAGUUACUACAAAAAUCUACAAGAAAAAGUAUGCACGUACACGUACAUAAAAGACCUUUGUAAAUUUUUAUUUAAAUGUUCACAAAAUAUUUCACGUUUUUGUGAUAGAGGCUGUUUCGCGCUGUUUGGAAAUUAAUUCUGAAACAAUUUUGUGUACGAUAAGGUAAUUUACUAUGUAUUUUCGAAAAGCAACUUAUAAUUGACUCGGCGUCAUGUACAAAUUACUGCUUGUUUUCACAAUACUAAAGCUUGAAGUUUGGAUUAAAGUUUUUUACAUUUUUUCGAAAAUAUUUGUAUGACCAACAGUUAUAUAAACACAUUUAAAAAAUACUGUUAAAAUUACACGGAAUAUUUCUUGUAGUAUGCCUAAAAGCUUGAUGUGGUUAAUUAAUUGGCAGCCCUAAUGUGCGCGAGCUGAUAUUUAUAUCUGACUUAAACACGUACAAACGCGGCUGCUGCUCGCACACUUGCCUCUUUUAAACGUUUAUGCAAAAAGGCAUUUUGUUUGUAUGCAUAUCGUAUGCAUAUGAAUUUGUUCGCUCCAGGGAAAUAUAAUUUUAUUAAUAUCAUCAAAUUUUAUGCCACAAUAAUAAAAGUAGGCCAUAAUGUUGCCAAUGACAAUAUUUAAUAUUUAAUUUUGCUUUAAAUAUUCGUUUUUGUUUUUGGUACUUCCUUGAUUACUUCCUUUGUAAUAAGCGCAUGGUAUAUUUCGCACGAAUUUAAUGUCACAGGGGAGUUUAGUUUUUGGUAUCAUGCCUCCAACCACUGAUAACUGGAGCAUGAAAUUUAUGAAUACAUUUAAAUUACGAGAAUAAUUCAAUUAAUUUUUCAUUGUCCUGCAGGAUACAAAAAUAAGUUAAUAUUUACAUUUUAAUUACGGCCGGCGUGUGAAUUUUGAGCGUCAAUUGAUUGAAUUCAUCCCUUAGCAGCAUCACUGUUGCUUAAUUAAUAAUAAUACCAAUAUAUAACUGAUGGCAAAUCCAAAUAUUUUGGGUAAAAUUUAGUACUUCGCCUAGCGAAGUCGUCCUUCAUAAAUAACAUGAAAACGUCAUUCAUAAGUAACGCGAAUUGAGUUUUGUUGAAUCGAAAUGAGUUUAUGCGUGCAUACCUCCAAACAUGUUCUGCAGUAAUGCUAAUAAUGAAAUUUGCAAUGGAAUGUUUUUAACUCCCUCGAAAGUUCCUAGAUCUCGUAGUUUUCUGAAGUUCAAAAAACAGCCAUUUAACCCCUUGUAUUUUUGAAAAAUGUAAAUAAAUAUGUACAUAUAUAUAGAUGUAUAUAGAAAUUGUGUAGUGUAAUUUAAGCAGUUCGGUUUGGCGAAUAACGCUACUCAUAAACAUACAUACAUACACCUUUACAUGUAAGAGAAUAUUACGCAGAUGUUGAAUGUAGGUAAAAUUAUAGCCACUUAAACCAAAACAAUAAAGUAAAGAAUUUUUGAAAUGUGAAACCUUGUAACCCGAGAAUUACCUUACUCUACCAAGUUGAAAAAUAUUAAAACUAAAAAUAAAAUACUAAAUGUAAUGUGAAAGCAAAACCAAAAAUCCAUUCAAAGUAUAUAUGUUAAAAAGAAAACCUAGAAAGAAGCAAAGCUAUCGAAAAUAGACAGAUGAGAGGCAACUUCUAAAUUGAGAGACGUUAAAAUGCAAAUAAAGCACAAAAUAUAAAUAUAUUAUAUGCCACACGAGUGACUAGAAAAGUAAGAUAUUGAAAACACUCAUUACAACACAGUUGUGAGUCUAAACGGUAAAAUUAAGUAAAUAAGAUACAAAGAAAUGAGAGAACCAAAUAUUGAACUCUUUGCGGUACAUUGACUAAAGAGCGGUCCAUUGCCGCUUAGGCCAGAGCGGGGAUGGAAGGAAUAGUAGCUGAACAUGGUUCGAGUUACACUAUUCCGCCGAUGAUUACUAAUUGUUAGAAUUAAUUUAGUGUAAGUCACAUAUAAAUCCACAUGCAGUGUGUCGAAUUACAAGUAUUUAUAAGAUGAAUAAAGCAAAAAAAACAACAAAAGUUAGUUAGUUAAGUUAGUGAAAAUAAAUACCAAUAUAUAAAUAUUUUUUAUUUGUAUUGAAAUUUUGAAUGUUUUUCGGGUUCUUUUUUGUUUAGGCUAUAGAAAUUUAAAAUUAAGCGGAAGAAGAGAUGGCACAGAAAUGUUGUAAAAUAAAAAGUAUAUGUUAAAAUUAAAAAA